GACGAACCGUGCAAACGUUGUUCGGAAUCACUGGGCUUAAAGGGCGCGUAGGCGGGGGCGCAAGUCAGGGGUGAAAGCCCACGGCUCAACCGUGGAAGUGCCUUUGAUACUGCGUCUCUUGAGGGAGGUAGGGGCGUGCGGAACUUCCGGUGGAGCGGUGAAAUGCGUAGAUAUCGGAAGGAACACCGGUGGCGAAAGCGGCGCGCUGGACCUCUUCUGACGCUGAGGCGCGAAAGCCAGGGGAGCAAACGGG
This 253-nucleotide ribosomal RNA is filed under the name uncultured bacterium. Its description in RNAcentral is "partial 16S ribosomal RNA". It matches the Rfam family "Bacterial small subunit ribosomal RNA", at positions 524 to 776 of the family's 1533-position model. The record is from RNAcentral.